This is a long non-coding RNA of Felis catus (domestic cat), 2078 nucleotides long. RefSeq lists it as uncharacterized. The record is from RefSeq and is a predicted model, not a curated record. Lineage: Eukaryota; Metazoa; Chordata; Mammalia; Carnivora; Felidae. The transcript has 6 exons.
CCCGUGCCCCGCAACUGCUGAGCCUGCUUCGCCUGCGUGUACGCCUAAGGAAGGGUUGCUGCUGAGACGCCAGGCGUGGGUGACUUAAAGACUCGGCGGCACUGCUGUUACUACCGUAGCCACAAGGUGGUGAUUUGGAAUCAACAAUGGGCCUUUUCUUUGACUGUAAACAGAAAACUGUGGGUGUGGACAUAAUGAAGCAAUUGUACCAUUGGAAAUAAAUCUGCUUACAGGCCCCCAGUCCUGGAUGAACUUCACCAUCCACCUCCCCUGUGUCGAUGCCUGAGCAACUGAGUAUUGUCACAAAAGUCAAAAAACCAAUUCAGAUGGUCCUCAGUUGUAUAUUUUGUUGGAUUUCAAGGAGGAAGAGGUGAAAAGUUCUAUACUGACCUCUCACAGCCAACAGUCACGGAGGCACAGUGUAUGCUGGGCACCAGUGAGUAAAACAGGCACCGUUAUGAAGCUUAUAUUCUUUAAACAAUGUAUGUCUUCCCCCACCUUACUAAUAUAAUCACUCAGGUGAGGAUGUGGCUGAGCCAAUGACUGAAGACAUCUGAAGGAAGAUACGAACCGGAUGAACAGGUAUCUCCGAAGUGUCUCAGUGGGAGCAAGAAAAAUGACCACAGCAAGGUUGGCUGAAGGGUUGGAGAGACUGAACACUGUCAGGCUUAAGGGCUGUCAAACAGUGUACUUGGAACAAAGUGCAAAGUGAGUAAGGAGACUUCUCUACCGAACCCUACUUAACUGGUGCCUGUAAAUACUUGGACUAAAACGGACACAUUCUAAGGCAUGAAGAAACUUUAGCCACUAUUAGUUUGUAGGUACAUAAGAGAUUCAGCUCACAGGUCAAGAAAGUGUUUCACCAUAUGAUGUCUUUUGUAUGGUAAGCUAUUUAAAGUAUAGAAUACAAGCAAUACAAUUAUAAGGAAAAUUUUCUGACUUUUAUUAUAGCAUUUUGCCUCAUGCUCUUCAACAUAUUUAUACACUUUUUAAUGUUGUCAUUUCAUAUAAAAAUUUUGUUAUGCCGCCGAGCAGAUUAGGAGCUCCUUGAGGGAAGGGAUUCUAUCCUAUGCAACCAAUGUGGAAUUCUGGGUGUUUGGUAAGUGCUCAUCAAAUACUUCAUGGAACAUUGAAUAUUGUGGACCUUGUACUUUAUGCUCCUAACUCCAGGUCCAAGAUAGGGCUGGCUUCUGCGGAAAGUACCACCCCUGUACCUUAUGUCAGACUAUGACAAAAUAUCCCUGGGAAGCCCCCAGAAGUUUGUCUGGUUGCUUUCUGUUGUUGCCAUCACUUGAGUGACAUGUGGGUCUCCAGAGAGAGACUUUGCCUUCUCCUUUUCUCACAGAGCAACAUGCUCACUGUUGGCUGAACGAUACGUAUGUUUUAUGGAGAGCAGAUUAAGUUACACAUAGGCAUUGUCUUCACUACUCACAGCACCAGGCACUGCUUUGGGACAACAAGCAGUCUCCUGACUGCCACCAUGGGUGGGAUCCUUCGUAGCUCAAAGCUUUGACUCCCAACCUGUCCUAAUAAUCUGUCUUGCUUGUGCCAUUUGGUGUUGAGAUCCCUGAUUUCUGAAGGCAUAAAGUAACUUUUGCCCAGGAUUUGACUUUCUCUCCUUCUAACCACUAGAGCCCACACCAUCCAAUCUCCUGAAGUGCUAUUGUGUCAGGCUUGAAAUGGAGGCUCAAUAUUAUUUGCUGCUUUAGCAUGUUAUAAAGUCCAGAGGCUCCCCGGUGGCCUAACUGCAAGUUCCCAUCCCUUGUCUCUUCAUGCGGAUGUCUCUUAGCCAAACAGCCCUCCUCAUCAUGGGGACCAGGCACACCACCUGUUUAUCAUUCAUCGUGUGUAGGAUUCAGUUCCCUGUCAGCCCACAGAAUUACUCAAACAAGCCAAUCACAUCCUUCUUGGGAGCCAGGGGGCACCUCACUGUCUUGAUACUACAAAGUUUGCUUCCCACAGCCCCCACUUGUUCACCCUGACCUCAAGUGCAACCCUCAUGUGACUCUGUGUGGCAUGGAGUGUCCUCCUCCCCCAUGCUAAGUAUAUAUGACCAAUAAACUGCUGUUGAUCUCGUC